Molecule: ribosomal RNA, 766 nt
Filed under: Dietzia sp. CPA-114
Lineage: Bacteria; Bacillati; Actinomycetota; Actinomycetes; Mycobacteriales; Dietziaceae
Description: bacterial SSU rRNA
Rfam family: Bacterial small subunit ribosomal RNA
Source: RNAcentral
ACGGUAAGGCCCCUUCGGGGGUACACGAGUGGCGAACGGGUGAGUAACACGUGGGUAAUCUGCCCUGCACUUCGGGAUAAGCCUGGGAAACUGGGUCUAAUACCGGAUAUGAGCUCCUGCCGCAUGGUGGGGGUUGGAAAGUUUUUCGGUGCAGGAUGUGCCCGCGGCCUAUCAGCUUGUUGGUGGGGUAAUGGCCUACCAAGGCGACGACGGGUAGCCGGCCUGAGAGGGUGAUCGGCCACACUGGGACUGAGACACGGCCCAGACUCCUACGGGAGGCAGCAGUGGGGAAUAUUGCACAAUGGGCGGAAGCCUGAUGCAGCGACGCCGCGUGGGGGAUGACGGUCUUCGGAUUGUAAACUCCUUUCAGUAGGGACGAAGCGAGAGUGACGGUACCUGCAGAAGAAGCACCGGCCAACUACGUGCCAGCAGCCGCGGUAAUACGUAGGGUGCAAGCGUUGUCCGGAAUUACUGGGCGUAAAGAGCUCGUAGGCGGUUUGUCACGUCGUCUGUGAAAUCCUCCAGCUCAACUGGGGGCGUGCAGGCGAUACGGGCAGACUUGAGUACUACAGGGGAGACUGGAAUUCCUGGUGUAGCGGUGAAAUGCGCAGAUAUCAGGAGGAACACCGGUGGCGAAGGCGGGUCUCUGGGUAGUAACUGACGCUGAGGAGCGAAAGCAUGGGGAGCAAACAGGAUUAGAUACCCUGGUAGUCCAUGCCGUAAAACGGUGGGCGCUAGGUGUGGGGUCCUUUCCACGGAUUCCGUG